Long non-coding RNA from Suricata suricatta (meerkat), 600 nucleotides. RefSeq lists it as uncharacterized. The transcript has 3 exons. NCBI's taxonomy places the organism in Eukaryota, Metazoa, Chordata, Mammalia, Carnivora, Herpestidae. The record is from RefSeq and is a predicted model, not a curated record.
GAAGCUCAGUGGGGAUUAUGGGCCCCAGAUCCUAGGGUGUUUGAUGGAGUUACAUGAGUUAACACAUGUGAGAACACAGUGCGAAGCCUGACACCCACGAGGUGCUCCUGCCCCACCCCACUUUGCUUGGGCCUUUCUUCACCUUCCAGGUCACACCUGAACUGUGUUCCACGAGCCACAGACUCAGGAUGUCAGAGCAUGGAGGGGCCUCAAGUGUCACUCAGCCCAUUGCAGGUGCUCAGUGCUGGUGGUUCCCAGCCACAUCAUCCCCCCUGUCUUUACACUCUAUGUUGAACAAUUUGGGCUGCCUUUGAACUUCCUGCACAGGCUUUUCCCUGCUCUCCCUGGCUGACUGAUUUCUGGACCUGACUCCCAUGUCUACUCCUCCAAGAAGCCUCCUGGGCCCCUUGACAAGCAGACUGCCAGUGCCUUUGUCUGAGCUUCAACAACCUUAUCCUGACUUUAAUUCAAUACUCUCCAUACUGGGGAGUUCCUGUGUCUUGUUUUCUAACAGGGAGCUCCAGGGGCCCUGACACUGGCACAUGCAGGUGCUUAAGAAGAGUGAGUCAGAACAUGAAUGGGCAGAAGUUUGGCAAUACC